GCGAAGUAGCUGAUUUCACACUGUCAAGAAAAGUCUCUAUCGAGGUUAAAGGUACCCGUACCGCAAACCGACACAGGUGGGUGAGGAGAGUAUCCUAAGGCCAGCGAGAGAACUGUUGUUAAGGAACUCGGCAAAAUGACCCCGUAACUUAGGGAUAAGGGGUGCCACCAUCAGGUGGCCGCAGAGAAUAGGCCCAAGCGACUGUUUACCAAAAACAUAGGUUUCUGCUAAGUCGCAAGACGAUGUAUAGGAGCUGACGCCUGCCCGGUGCUGGAAGGUUAAGGGGAUCUGUUAGAGCAAUCGAAGCAGUGAACUUAAGCCCCAGUAAACGGCGGCCGUAACUAUAACGGUCCUAAGGUAGCGAAAUUCCUUGUCGGGUAAGUUCCGACCCGCACGAAAGGCGUAACGAUUUGGGCACUGUCUCAACAACAGACUCGGUGAAAUUGUAAUUCCGGUGAAGAUGCCGGAUACCUGCGACAGGACGGAAAGACCCCAUGGAGCUUUACUGUAGCUUGACAUUGGGUCUUGGUACUACAUGUACAGGAUAGGUGGGAGGCUUUGAAACCAGGACGCCAGUUUUGGCGGAGCCAUCCUUGGGAUACCACCCUUGUAGUACUGGGACUCUAACCAUAGGCCAUGAAUCUGGUCUUGGGACACUGUCAGGUGGGCAGUUUGACUGGGGCGGUCGCCUCCCAAAAGGUAACGGAGGCGCUCAAAGGUUCUCUCAGUACGGUCGGAAAUCGUACGUAGAGUGUAAAGGCAAAAGAGAGCUUGAUUGCAAGACAUACAGGUCGAGCAAGGAUGAAAAUCGGACGUAGUGAUCCGGUGGUUCUGCGUGGAAGGGCCAUCGCUCAACGGAUAAAAGCUACCCUGGGGAUAACAGGCUUAUCUCCCCCAAGAGUCCACAUCGACGGGGAGGUUUGGCACCUCGAUGUCGGCUCAUCACAUCCUGGGGCU
This 957-nucleotide ribosomal RNA is filed under the name Clostridioides difficile. RNAcentral's name for it is "bacterial LSU rRNA". It matches the Rfam family "Bacterial large subunit ribosomal RNA", at positions 1585 to 2554 of the family's 2925-position model. Lineage: Bacteria; Bacillati; Bacillota; Clostridia; Peptostreptococcales; Peptostreptococcaceae. The record is from RNAcentral.